CAGCCCCAGUGGGUUUCAGUCCCUCCCAGCAGAGCACCCCAUUCUCUGUCCUCAAUCCCCGAAGGCAGACAGGUGUCAUCCUCUCCCCGCUCCUCCCCAGCCCUCUGGACCUCCUUUAACCAUACAUGUGAGCCCAACUACUCGGGGAGAGGAGCUGAAGUUGUUUAUCCGUUAUUUUAAAAAAUCCUUUCUGUCUACAUCUGUCUUUUUCCAGUACUCAAAUUUCAACCCCUACAUCAUGUACCACCCCCACCCCCCCUACUCUUUCCUGGGCAGGUCCGUAGACUGGCCUGCGGAGGUGCCUGGACGGUGCCCUUGUUCUCUGUCCUCUGACUCCCAAGGGCCUGGUUGGAAUUCUGGGAAGGGCCAGAUCUGCACUGGGUCCCUCAGGAUAUCCCAGGGCAGCCCCCUCUCUGCCCACCCUAACUUCAGCAGCUCCAGAGCAGGAAGGUUGGGGUCCUAGGGUCACCUGCCACAGAGAGGAAACCAGAGCCCAGAGCCCCGUAGACUUGGCCAUGGGAAGGACACAAGCCACUCCCAUCUUCACUGGGUCACUAGAUAAAUGGGCUGGAGUAACACACCCAAAUGAUGAAUGCGUUGCUGCCAUAAUCCAAAUAGGCCCACUAGGCAUUGUGCCUCUUUCUUGGUUGUAGGAGGGGCCAAAUGCAGCAACCUAUCCUUCAUCUUAGAAGGAAUGUUUCAACAGGCCCCACACCACUGGACCUCUAGAAAUUGUAUUGAGGUAGAAGGUCCCUGAAUUUUAGUUGAAUUUAUUUCCCAUCCUCUGGCACGCAAAUGUCUCACCAGUAAGUACCGUGUGUUUGCUACUUCUUGCUCACUGGUAUAAUCAGCAUAAUGUCAUCAAUGUAAUGGACCAGUGUGAUAUCUUCUGGAAGAAAAAAGCAAUCAAGGUCUCUCCAAAUAAGAUUAUGACACAAAGCUGGAGAGUUGAUAUACCCCUGAGGUAGGACAGUAAAGGUAUAUUGCUGGCCUUACCAGCUGAAGGCAAAUUGCUUCUGGUGGGCCUUAUGGACAGGAAUGGAGAAAAAGGCAUUUACCAAGUCAAUGGUUGCAUAACAGGGACCAGGAGUUGUGUUAAUUUGCUCAAGCAAUGAAUCCACAUCUAGUACAGCAGCUGCAAUUGGAGUCACCACUUGGUUAAGCUUAUAAUAAUCCACUGUUUUUCUCCAAGAUCCAUCUGUCUUCUGCACAGGCCAAAUGGGAGAGUUGAAUGGGGAUGUGGUGGGAAUUACCACCCCCGCGUCUUUCAAGUCUUUGAUGGUGGCACUCAUAUCCACAUUCCCUCCAGGGAUGCGAUAUUGUUUUUGAUUUACUAUUUUUCUAGGUAGAGGCAGUUCGAAUGGCUUCCAUUUGGCCUUUCCCACCAUAAUAGCCCUCACCCUACCAGUCAGGGAGCCAAUGUGGGGGUUCUGCCAGCUGCUAAGUAUGUCUAUGCCAAUUAUGCAUUCUGACACUGGGGAAAUGACUGCAAGAUGAGUCAGGGGACCCACUGGACCCACUCUAAGUCGGACCUGAGCUAAAACUCCAUUAACUAGCUGACCUCCAUAAGCCCCUACUCUAACUGGAGGACUGCAAUGAUGUUUUGGGUCCCCUGGAAUCAAUGUCAGCUCAGAGCCAGUGUCCAGUAGUCCCUGAAAUGUCUGAUCAUUUCCCUUUGCCCAAUGCACAGUUACCCUGGUAAAAGGCGGUGGCAGCUGAGGGAGGUGCAGGUGCAGAUUCUUGGACAGGCGAUUUAAUGAAGAGUUGUCUCUGGAAAAACUGGAAAGACAUGGGAAUGUUGAGUCAUUUGGGGCUAAUACAAAUAACACUGCCAUUCUUGUGAUAGAAUUUCUGUGGGUGUCUGUUUCGUUUCUCUAGGGAAAAUAGCUGGACCCACCAAGUCACAGAUUCUCUUACUGAGCCCUCCACACUGGGGGCUAUUCUGUGGGUAGACCCUGGGGGUGCCAGGUGCUGUCCAGGGAAGUGUGCUCAGCAGAGAGGUUGUUGUGUUGGAAGGGAAUGAGGGGGACCUGGAGAUCUGCUGGCUUGUCUGCACUGACCCAGGAGGCUGACCCUGAGCAAUGAGAGUGUUGCAAACUCCCAGGCAAAGUCCAGACUGGAGUGUGCCCGGGAUGCAUUUCCUACCGCAUUUUGCAGAGGGCAGCAUGAACCCCAGCAUACCUUAGAAUCCAGAACUGAGAAUCAGGGGAAUCUGGAGUUUCAUAAACCCAAGAUUUCAGAUUCUGAGAAUCUCAGAAUUUAGAAAUGUAGAGGCUCAGAGCCCGGAAAGUAGAGCCACCAGGUAGUUUAUGACUUCCAGUCUAACAGAAUUGUCUUCAAAAUACAGGAAAAAAAAUUAAAAAGACGAACCUCCCCUGGGAGCCCAGUACAUGGAUCAGAAGAAGGCUGGGCAGCAACUCUGGCUGGAGGCAGGUGGCGGCUUCUAAGACCUCUCUGCUGACCACCUUCCCCCAGGCAUUUUGACCCCUCAUUCCCUAUCAGGCAGCCCAGGACACUGU
Molecule: long non-coding RNA, 2519 nt
Filed under: Homo sapiens (human)
Lineage: Eukaryota; Metazoa; Chordata; Mammalia; Primates; Hominidae
Description: non-protein coding lnc-MECR-4:1
Source: RNAcentral